CGGAUUGGAGUCUGCAACUCGACUCCAUGAAGUCGGAAUCGCUAGUAAUCGUGGAUCAGAAUGCCACGGUGAAUACGUUCCCGGGCCUUGUACACACCGCCCGUCACACCAUGGGAGUGGGUUGCAAAAGAAGUAGGUAGCUUAACCUUCGGGAGGGCGCUUACCACUUUGUGAUUCAUGACUGGGGUGAAGUCGUAACAAGGUAACCGUAGGGGAACCUGCGGUUGGA
Molecule: ribosomal RNA, 229 nt
Filed under: Escherichia coli
Lineage: Bacteria; Pseudomonadati; Pseudomonadota; Gammaproteobacteria; Enterobacterales; Enterobacteriaceae
Also listed under: 3 other names
Description: partial 16S ribosomal RNA
Rfam family: Bacterial small subunit ribosomal RNA
Source: RNAcentral